Long non-coding RNA from Urocitellus parryii (Arctic ground squirrel), 292 nucleotides. RefSeq lists it as uncharacterized. The record is from RefSeq and is a predicted model, not a curated record. Lineage: Eukaryota; Metazoa; Chordata; Mammalia; Rodentia; Sciuridae.
ACUGAGUAAAACCUCAGGGUCACACAGGAAAUUCAGCAGGGGCCUCCCACGCACCACCUAGGGCCUCACAAGGGCACAUGGAGAGUGUGCUUACUGGCAGCUGAGACUCGGGUCUAACUCCCAGCAAAACUUGCACCAGACAGCCUCGGGGGUUCUUGGGAAUCCAACGUCAUCCUUAGAACCUCUCAGGAGCUCACAUCUGCACACCCCGCAGCCUGCUCCUCCUCGCCACGCACACAGAGGCCACUGUGGGRACAGGCGAUGCCCUGGACCUCACCCCCAUGGGAGGAAG